Molecule: long non-coding RNA, 1794 nt
Organism: Vespa mandarinia (Asian giant hornet)
Lineage: Eukaryota; Metazoa; Arthropoda; Insecta; Hymenoptera; Vespidae
Source: RefSeq, a predicted model, not a curated record
AUCAGAUAUUAAUGAUUAUUUUUAUCAAUCAUUUAUUGUAUAUCUAUCACUUUAAUUAUAUCUAUGAUAUUACGUAAAAAAUUCACUAUUUAUGUAAUACAUAAUAAAAUAAUUAUUAAUUGAAGAUCGUUUAUUUGAUAAAAUCCAAAACAAAUACAGUUAGAUUGUUCUUACCGAAAAAAGGAGACCCAUCCAAAGUCCCACUCGAGAGAAACUAGAAUAAUUAAUAUAAAAUAAUUGUUUAAACUAUUAUAUGGCAAUGCGUUUAUGAAGAUAAUAAAGAAUUUUGAUGAAAAUAAGAAACUAUAGAUGAGUUCUAUAUUAAAACCGACACUGACACUAUUUCACGAUUACGUCUACUUAUGUUUCGGAAGGAGAGAGCUACGAUGUUUACUCGUCGAAAUGUAAAAGAAAACUAUUCCGAUAACAGAUAAAAGUCACGUGGUUAUACUGGAAGACGAACAACCAAUCAGAAUAGAGCUACCUUGGUCCUGUCUUCAUUUACGUAGCAGAAGGCAACAGUGAUGGAUCUCCUGAAAGUGUUCUUCGAUUUCUUCACAUUUUCGAUACUUUUUUCGUUUAUUUAUGGAAUUUCGUUUAACAAGUUAUACAAUAAAUUAUAACAGAAAUCGUAUGUGUUUCGUAAAAUCAAUAAUAAUGAAAAUAAAACCGAUAUAAGAAAAAAAAAAAAAUACAAAUGAAAACAAUAACGGACGAAAAGAUAAAAAUAAAAAAAUCAUUUUGUAUUUGUCAUCAUAUCUCAUCGGUAUAUAACUAUCGUUAAGUGGUCAAAUUAUCGAAUGAGAAUAAGAAUAAUCACACUUGAAUGAUAAUAAAAAUGCAAUCAAAAGGAAGGAAAGAAAGAGAUCUAUGUGAGACAUUAGGGACUAAAAUGUUUAAAUUGUAGCUUGUUGUUUAAAUAUAUUUUUUCUUUUUUUAUUAUUAUAUAUAAAUUAGCAUCGAAUAUAGAAUAUACAUGAUUUAUAUAAUGUUUAAUUAUAUACAUUUAUAUAUAUAUAUAUAUAUGUAUUAUAAUUAUCCAUUAUUACAAUACUAUUAGUAGUAAUAAUAAUAAUAUAAAAAUGUGCUAUUCCAACAGGAAAAAGAAAAUAAUAAAUAGCGCACGGAUAGUAUAAAACUGAACUUUUAGUUUUAAUUUUUUUGAAAAUAAUAUACAAUAUAUAUACGUAAAAUAGAAUAAUUUACUUGUGUUUUUUGACAGCAAAAAAAGAAAAGUAAGAAAGAAAAUAUAAUCCAUCUAGACUUGAGAAUCUACGAUUUCUAAAUUACAUGUCUAGUUGUUUGUUAUUUGCUAAAUGUUUCUUAUAGGAAUUUUACUUUUUAGUACGUAUAUAAAAAAAUAUAAAAGGAACUAGACAUUUUUUAUAAAUUUUAAACAAUAUAUCAAAAACUAAUAAAUGGCUGAAGACGUAUUUUCUUAUUUUUAUCAUAAAAUAGUCUGUCAAUAGUUCAUCAAAAUACUUGAAUGAAUUAUGUUUUCUCUACGUGUGAGAGCACGGCAAAUACCAUUUGGAAUAAGUCAGAAAAUUUGAGCUUUGAGUUUACGCACACAAAGAAGUAAUUAUCUAUUUCAUAAAAACAAAACACAUGAGUGCGCACGCCAUACACACACACACACACAUAUAUAUAUACUGUUAAAGCGUUUAUAUAAAAACAUACAUAUACUGUUUAAGCGUUUAUAUAAAGAUCAAUAAUAGUAGGAGGUUUCUUUCUUUUUGUCAAAAAAUAUAAGGAGCGCCAUUAUAUGUAACUUAAUAUAGUAACUUGAAUUAU